GGGAAACCGGUGCUAAUACCGCAUAUUCUGACGAAGUCUGCGGAUUUUGUCUCGAAAACCAGAAAAGUCGCUAUGAGAGGGGUCCGCGGCUGAUUAGCUAGUUGGUGAGGUAAUGGCUCACCAAGGCCACGAUCAGUAGCCGGUCUGAGAGGACGGUCGGCCACACUGGAACUGAGACACGGUCCAGACUCCUACGGGAGGCAGCAGUGGGGAAUUUUUCGCAAUGGGGGCAACCCUGACGAAGCAAUGCCGCGUGGAUGAUGAAGUAUCUCGGUACGUAAAAUC
This 285-nucleotide ribosomal RNA is filed under the name uncultured Acidobacteriota bacterium. RNAcentral's name for it is "uncultured Acidobacteria bacterium partial 16S ribosomal RNA". It matches the Rfam family "Bacterial small subunit ribosomal RNA", at positions 151 to 432 of the family's 1533-position model. The record is from RNAcentral. Lineage: Bacteria; Pseudomonadati; Acidobacteriota.